Triticum aestivum (bread wheat) is the source of this 1103-nucleotide long non-coding RNA. RefSeq lists it as uncharacterized. Lineage: Eukaryota; Viridiplantae; Streptophyta; Magnoliopsida; Poales; Poaceae. The record is from RefSeq and is a predicted model, not a curated record. The transcript has 4 exons.
UCCUCCACCACCUGAGAGUGAGACAUCCCUAAAACAAUAAGAGUGAGAGAGUAAAACAGAUUGAGGCAGCAGCGGCAGCGGCUGUACCAAAUCGGAGUGUUCUACCAGUGCAUCACCAUAGCUCCAUUGGUGGCUAGGUCUCAUUGGCGCCAUGAUAGGCGCUCGGGCCGCGAUUCAUGCACCGUCCACCAGCGAGGCCACAUCUCAGUCGAUCCCCACCAGGACCAGGCUCCCCCUCCACAUGCACCACCUCUUCCGAUUAGCUGUCGGCCGAUGUCGCUUCUAGCCGUCACGAAUCUAACCCCAAGGCCCAAGCUAUCCCGCUCUACUUCUCCCAUCGUGUUCUUCGCGGUGUCCAGGGUGCAGAUCCUCGCCGACCUCGUGAGUCCGGCGGGCAAUUGAGGAAGAAAUAGGAGUUGCCGCCUUCCUUACUGUAGCUGCUGGCACACCUCUGCUAAUAUGUAGGCGAGUUGUGUGUUUCCUCAUUGCUGGUGCUGUAGGACCACUACCAUUGUAAAUUUUAUGUGCUACGUACAACUUUGCACCAUUCCUUCAUCAACAACGGCUGAUCCUUUGACAUGUCUUAUAGUCUUGUUUUCCUUCAAAAGCGGCGACAUCAUAAAGAAGUCUCAUGCAUUACCUGAUUUGUCUACCUUCCGCACCUCAUUCUAGUGAGAGGCAACUCAAAAGGGUGGUUGUCCGUCAAGCAUCGAGAUGUCCAGCAUGUUGCAGUUUUCACCGAUAUUGUUGUGUCGUAGAAUCAGUAGACUUCGAUUGGUCAAGGAGAAGAUUGGGCUGGCUUCGAUUUAUGGAUGUGUUCGGCUGGGUGUAUUUUUGUAUUUUUAUGUAUGCAUGUCUUGGCAGAGUACGUGUGUGCUAGUUGUGUCCGGCUGGUCUUUUUAUGCGUGCUUGAGCUGGCCAAAUACUUUUGGAGUAUUUUUUGUUGAGUCCAUGGUCAACACGUCUGGACUUCUUUUGGUUGCGUUGGAGAUUUGGAAGCGGGUGCAUGUUGAUUCCAUGCUCAACACGUCUGGAGUUCUUUUGGUUGAUCUGGGUGCACGUGACAUUUUAUAUAUGGUUAAUCGUGUCUUGGUGUCUUACUU